CUCUGUCAUUUUUUCUGCUCAAAUUAUAUCUCCACUGUAUUCCUGAUUUGACUAUUGAUCCAUAUCAUAGUCACUUAUAUCAAUAUUUCUGCCUGUUCACUAUAUAAGUACCAUAUCAUUUUCCCACAUCACUAAAAGUUAAGCAAAACAUCAAGGAAAAUCCAUCAAUAACUGUUAACAACUAAACAAGGUAUUGAAACCGGC
Molecule: non-coding RNA, 204 nt
Organism: Pelobates cultripes (western spadefoot toad)
Lineage: Eukaryota; Metazoa; Chordata; Amphibia; Anura; Pelobatidae
Source: the annotation of a GenBank genome assembly